ACUCAAAGGAAUUGACGGGGGCCCGCACAAGCGGUGGAGCAUGUGGUUCAAUUCGAUGCAACGCGAAGAACCUUACCAGGGUUUGAACUGUGUUUGAAAGAUCCAGAGAUGGAUACCUCUAGCAAUAGACAAAUACAGAGGUGCUGCAUGGCUGUCGUCAGCUCGUGUCGUGAGAUGUUGGGUUAAGUCCCGCAACGAGCGCAACCCUUGCUCUUAGUUGCUCGCGAGAGCUCUCUAAGAGGACUGCUGGUGAUAAACCGGAGGAAGGCGGGGAUGACGUCAAGUCAUCAUGGCCUUUAUGCCCUGGGCUACACACGUGCUACAAUGGCUGGUACAAAGGGUUGCCAAAUCGCAAGAUGGAGCCAAUCCCAGAAAGCCAGCCUCAGUUCGGAUUGCAGUCUGCAACUCGACUGCAUGAAGUUGGAAUCGCUAGUAAUCGCGGAUCAGCAUGCCGCGGUGAAUACGUUUCCGGGCCUUGUACACACCGCCCGU
RNAcentral lists this ribosomal RNA (492 nucleotides) under uncultured bacterium. RNAcentral describes it as "partial 16S ribosomal RNA". It matches the Rfam family "Bacterial small subunit ribosomal RNA", at positions 899 to 1397 of the family's 1533-position model. The record is from RNAcentral.